CUACGGGACGCAGCAGUGGGGAAUAUUGCACAAUGGACGAAAGUCUGAUGCAGCAACGCCGCGUGGAGGAUGACACAUUUCGGUGCGUAAACUCCUUUUAUAUAGGAAGAUGAUGACGGUACUAUAUGAAUAAGCGCCGGCUAACUCCGUGCCAGCAGCCGCGGUAAUACGGAGGGCGCAAGCGUUACUCGGAAUCACUGGGCGUAAAGAGCGUGUAGGCGGAUAGAUAAGUCAGGAGUGAAAUCCUAUGGCUCAACCAUAGAACUGCUCUUGAAACUGUCUAUCUAGAAUAUGGGAGAGGUAGAUGGAAUUUCUGGUGUAGGGGUAAAAUCCGUAGAGAUCAGAAGGAAUACCGAUUGCGAAGGCGAUCUACUGGAACAUUAUUGACGCUGAGACGCGAAAGCGUGGGGAGCAAACAGGAUUAGAUACCCCCGUAGUC
RNAcentral lists this ribosomal RNA (439 nucleotides) under uncultured bacterium. RNAcentral describes it as "partial 16S ribosomal RNA". It matches the Rfam family "Bacterial small subunit ribosomal RNA", at positions 339 to 795 of the family's 1533-position model. The record is from RNAcentral.